AAGUCCCGUAACUCAAAAAGUUUAAAUCCUAUUUUCACCAAAACGUAUAUGUACAGAUUGUAUGACCAUCAUAGGAAACAACUAUGUUAAGUGUCAUGAAAUUUGGAUAAGCGGUUCUCAAGUUACGGUGUGACAUGUGGACUCCGGACAGAUAGACAGACGGACGGCGGACAUUUGUAUACCAUAAUACGUCCCGUCAAAAUUUUGGCGGACGUAUAAAAAAUGGAUUAAAGUGAAGAACAAGUGUUUAUCGUCCAGUAACACAUAUUACAUUCAUAUCGGAACAGGAGUA
RNAcentral lists this long non-coding RNA (292 nucleotides) under Mytilus galloprovincialis (Mediterranean mussel). Lineage: Eukaryota; Metazoa; Mollusca; Bivalvia; Mytilida; Mytilidae. The record is from RNAcentral.